Molecule: long non-coding RNA, 226 nt
Filed under: Lathyrus oleraceus (garden pea)
Lineage: Eukaryota; Viridiplantae; Streptophyta; Magnoliopsida; Fabales; Fabaceae
Description: Pisum sativum (pea) long non-coding RNA (PSAT_LNC031376)
Source: RNAcentral
AAAGAUGGGGAGGCACAUGUUGUGCAAUCCCAUGCUAAGCCAAGAAGACACUCUGUCAAGAGGAAGCCGGCGCGUCAUCAGCACCAGGUGGCUCAUAUAGCACCUGUCUUCCGAGAUAAUGCUCAGUAUCAGCAGCCUAAUCAGCAUCAACAACAACCUCAGUAUCAACAGCAGCAUCGUCCACAGCAACCGGCUUACCAGCCUCGUGGCAGUACUAGUAACCAAG